Molecule: unclassified non-coding RNA, 304 nt
Filed under: fungal sp.
Lineage: Eukaryota; Fungi
Description: partial internal transcribed spacer region
Rfam family: Eukaryotic small subunit ribosomal RNA (bases 1-46)
Source: RNAcentral
AAGUCGUAACAAGGUUUCCGUAGGUGAACCUGCGGAAGGAUCAUUAACACGUAUCCAACGUUAAACCCCCCUGUGAACCUUCAGAAGUCCGUUCUCGUAACACCAGUGCGCCUCAGCAAUCCCGGUAAAUCAUUGUCGACCAGUAUUGAUUCGGGACCUCUGACAAAUGCCUUACGAUCGAGCCAGCUUCCAUGUCAUAGGGUCCUUUGAGAUCCCUUCGAAACCCCACUACUUUAUAGUUCGGGCUUGCUAAAUACACGCCCAAAAAAACGAACAACUGUUAACAAUGGAUAUCUUGGUUCUC